ACCUGGGCUGGGAAUCGAUAUGUUGAACCUCGACGCGGAUGCAACACGUGAGCGGUGAUUUUGAUACGUGGUACCACCAUAUAACACGCCGCCGUGUUCGUGGAUUCGGGUGUUUCGUUCUAAUUACCGUCCUUUUCUGAGACGUCAGGUGGGUAUUUGCAGUGACAGUGCGAUGUUCGAAAGUGGCCACGGGAAUCCGAGUGCGAAUUGUGCGGAUCGUCUCGUUGUCUGAGAAGAGCUCGACAUGAAGGAUUUCCAAUUGCUCUUCCCCCUGUACCUAUGGACCACGCUUGCGUACCUCGUGCCGCACGGAUCUGCUAUUCCAGCGUGUGCAUGGGUGAGGGGGUGUUAUACCGAUCACCGCCCGGGGGCAAGUAAGUGUCGGCGCUGCGAAAUUUCGGCUGCUUCCUGGAGUCGCUUCAUAGAGGCGAUGUUGCUAUUUAGACGGAUUUAAAUUCGCCUUAUGAACCAGUGGACAAGGUACGCAUUUAACCAUUCUGAUAUAGAAUAAAGAAAAACUUAAUCAGCCAAAAACAUAAUA
Molecule: long non-coding RNA, 541 nt
Filed under: Bemisia tabaci
Lineage: Eukaryota; Metazoa; Arthropoda; Insecta; Hemiptera; Aleyrodidae
Description: lncRNA ENSSSA3NGG002826
Source: RNAcentral